RNAcentral lists this ribosomal RNA (402 nucleotides) under uncultured bacterium. RNAcentral's name for it is "bacterial SSU rRNA". It matches the Rfam family "Bacterial small subunit ribosomal RNA", at positions 355 to 774 of the family's 1533-position model. The record is from RNAcentral.
UGGGGAAUCUUGGACAAUGGGCGCAAGCCUGAUCCAGCCAUGCCGCGUGGAUGAUGAAGGCCCUAGGGUUGUAAAAUCCUUUCGUUGGGGACGAUAAUGACGGUACCCAAAGAAGAAGCUCCGGCUAACUUCGUGCCAGCAGCCGCGGUAAUACGAAGGGGGCUAGCGUUGUUCGGAUUUACUGGGCGUAAAGCGCGUGUAGGCGGGUCGUUAAGUUGGGGGUGAAAUCCCGAGGCUCAACCUCGGAACUGCCUUCAAAACUGGCGACCUGGACUCAAGCAGAGGCAAGUGGAAUUGCGAGUGUAGAGGUGAAAUUCGUAGAUAUUCGCAGGAACACCAGUGGCGAAGGCGACUUGCUGGGCUUGUAGUGACGCUGAGACGCGAAAGCGUGGGGAGCAAACA